Molecule: unclassified non-coding RNA, 564 nt
Filed under: Gorteria corymbosa
Lineage: Eukaryota; Viridiplantae; Streptophyta; Magnoliopsida; Asterales; Asteraceae
Description: partial external transcribed spacer
Source: RNAcentral
GCAUUUUUGGGAUUGCUUAGGCUUUUGGUUGCUUGCUUGGUCUUUGUACUAUGCGGGUGGCUACUAGUCGGGUGGUUUCGGGAAGUGUUUACCGUAAAGGUGCAUGAGUGGUGUUUGGUUUGUUAYGGGUGGUUGGAUGUCUUCUAGCGAAGCAACUUCCACGCGUGCUUACCUCUUCAUUUAUGUGGCAAGACUUGUUUUUUCUUGCUCGUAUUGUGGGUUUCCUGUGUUGCGUACCUAAUCGAAGGCAUUGUAUGGACCGAUUGAAGCCGUUUUCGUCAUGCAUCACAAUUGUGGUGUGUGACGAACUAGGAAGUGGUCUUUGUAAUCCAUCUCGUGUUGUUAUCGCUUCGACGAUGUGGCUUGCUGAGUUCUGCUUGGUCUCUUGGAUACUGAACCUGAUGUGGGCAUGGGAUCCUAAACAAUCCUUUUUUGCCCUCGUUUAGCGUUCUCGCUUCUCUAAAACGAUCACUCGUCGUGCGUUGGCUUGUCCAUGCAUGGCGGGUUGCAUCGAAGAGGAAUGCUACCUGGUUGAUCCUGCCAGUAGUCAUAUGCUUGUCUCAA